RNAcentral lists this long non-coding RNA (17094 nucleotides) under Populus tremula. Its description in RNAcentral is "long non-coding RNA (PTRE_LNC001980)". Lineage: Eukaryota; Viridiplantae; Streptophyta; Magnoliopsida; Malpighiales; Salicaceae. The record is from RNAcentral.
UAGGAACCAAAUAAAAACAAGGUGCAUAGCCUCUUACGACCAAGAAGAAAGAUUUAUAAUAAAAUAUUGAAAGAAUUUGCUCAAAAGGAAAUAUGAAGAGAAAUCAGCUAGCUAAUUAACGCGCAACAACAAACUUCAGGUGCAGGAAAAAAAUUUAAAGGAAGCCAGUGCCUUGGGGAGUAGGGCAAGUACUCUACAUGUGUAUAUAUAGCUGUGUAUCGGCUAGCAAACUUCAAUUUGUUACAAUUAACACAAAGUUCCCUGGCCACUGAUGGAUCAUUAAAAAAAAAUGGUUCGAUUAAUGGUAAGUGCGAUGGUCUUACCGUUGCUUGCACUGUGGCGAAGAUGGCGAUGGUGAGAUACCUGUCAUGAAGCAAAGGAAAGGGUUAAGAGAUCAGAAAGCAGGCACUAAUCCUGAAUUUAGAAACAAAUAUAGCACAAAAUAAAGACCGAGAGUGCAAAAAACUGGUUAAACCUUCCAAGAAAGGUGUCAGCAAUAAAGCCACCAAGCAGACAAAGCAUGAAAGAUGUUCCAAGGAAGUUGGUGACGGUGUUGGCAGAGGUAGCAUUGCCCAGGUGCAUAGUACCAGUCAGAUACGUCACCAGAUUAACAGCAAUACCAAGUGUUGUUAGUCUCUCCAUUGCCUCUCCGCCUGAUAAAACCGAGAACAGGAGAGUGAGAGAUCAGAUAGAGAAACAUAUACAGAUAAGUAAGAUAUAUAAAGAUCAUAGAAAAUGAAGUAGGGGGGGUGUGCUAAUUAAUUUCGGACCUAGAAUCAUGGCAGCACUGGUCCAGCCACCAGUUUUGGACCGCUCCGCAGGGCGGCCCUUGUAGUCCCAAGCAUCUGGGAGGGUCUUGCCUUGUGUUUCUGGAAGAGACAUUGCUUUGGUUUUAAUUUUGGAUCGAAGCCUAAGAACUAGAAAUACGAGAGACUAGAAAAGAAGAAACUAUGUGGCACAUUGAAUGCUUUGGAACUUCCCCUUUUUAUAGGGGAUUUAAGGGGAUCUAAUUAUGUUAAAAAUAAACGAUAAGGUAGUUGUAUUUUGUAUAAAGUGAAAUGUGCCAGCUUAUGUUCAAUGAAAAUUUAUUCAGUAGUUCACUGUAGACUCCAACACUUCUUCUUGUUUAUGUCCCUAUAUAUAUAUAUUAUAUAUAUAUAUAUAUAUAUAUAUAUCAGAUUUAGAGGCGGCAAUUUAAUAACAAUGGAUAUUGAUUUGAGUAUUUUUAAAAUUAAAAGAUAAUAAAUAAGAUAUAAAUAUUACCGAAUCUAAUCUUAAAUAGAUAUUUAUAUUAUAUAAAUAUAUUUAUAAAUAUAUUUAUAAAAUAUUUAUAUUUUUUAACAUGUAUGCAUGCUUUAAUAUUAGCAUAAAAACACAAACACAAACAAUAUUUAUCAUUUUAUUAUUUAAUAUACAUAUACAUACAUCUCAUAUAUAUAUAUAUUUUUAUUUAUAUAUAUUUUUAUUUUUUUAUUGAUUAGUAAAUAAUACUAGAUAAUAAAUAUAUUCAAAACUUGAUGAGUAAUUUAUAAAUAUUUAAAUUAUUUAUUUGAUAAAUAAAAAAAAUAUAUAUAAAUAUAUAAAAAAAACUCAACUCACACGCUACCAUGGUCAUUUAUGAUUAGGUGUGUGUUUGAUAUUGUGGUAACUGUUGUGGUUGUGAUUUUUUAAAAAAUUAUUUUAUAAAAAGUACUUUUAGUUAAGGUUUGUUUGAAAAAAAAAAUAUUUGGUUAAAAUUAUGGUUGAAAUUGAGGUUGAACAAAAAGUAGUUUAAUGUGUUUCAUUAAAAAUACCUUUUAAAUUAAGGUUAUAAAAUAAUCAAUAUAUAUAUAUAUAUAUAUAUAUAUAUAUAUAUAUAUUGAUGGUUUUAAAUUUAAUUAUUGUAGAUUUAACUACUACUAUUACAUCAUGAAAUAAAUAAUACUUAUAUCAAAUAUUUUUUUAUUGUUCCAUUAAACUAUCUACAAUUUCAUUACGUAUGAAAUUCAUCCAACAAAGACUAUAGUUUCUUAAGCGCGCACCAACAUCAGGUAAAAUAUCAUCAGGAACAAAAUUGAAAUUGCGAUCAAAUUCUGUAAAUGUUACGUUAUCAAGCGAUCUAUUUCUAAUUUAUAUAAUGUUAUUAAAUACUAGUUUUUGAGUAAAACACAAUUAAAAAAAAUUAAAUUUUUUUCUGGUCGGAUGUGAUUCAAUGAACCACUUGUGAAUUACUUCAUUUGUCACUGUUCAUAACAUUCAAUGUCCCUCUUUUCUCUGUCUUAAAGCCAUUUAAUUUCACCUUUAAUAAAUUAUAUUUUGAUAUCUUACCCAAUUUCUAUCUCUUUCCUUGUACAUAGCAAGAAAAACAUAGCACGUCCAUGGCCGGUAACAAGUUUGCAACCAUGCUGAACAGAAACACCAACAAGAUUGCUCUCCUAGUCUAUGCAAUCCUUAAAUGGAUUCUGAUCAAUCUCGCAAGAUAUGUGUGAGGACUGGUCAUCCUCAUCUAACUGCUCAGCCUUGAACAAGUUUGCUUUUUUUUUUUUUGGAUGAAGCAACUUCAUGACCUUCAAGAUUCUAGGACUUGAAAUCUGCACAGCAGGUCUCGAGUGAGUUUGAGUCAGGGCGUGCGUUUCUUGUAAGAGUCUGGAACAACCAGGGUUUUAUUCACUUACUUGGACUCACAAAGUACACUUUUCAGGAAGUGGUGUUUUCUCGAAUCCAAAAAAAAAAAAAACUUUAUGACCUUCAAGAUUUGGGGUGGUAAGCUAAGUGAAAUUGGUGAGGAGGAUUUGAAGUGUUCUUGUAGUGGUGUUUGCUUGGACAUGAAACUAUUUUGUGAUGAUUAUUUUUUGUUCAGCCUUCCUGGGAUGACUCAGUUUUUACCUAAAAAGAAAUUUGGUUUUGGAUCAUCAAGUUGAUGAUAAAGCUGGUGUAGAGGAUCAUCCUGAUAGAGAAAGCUUAAGAAGUGAAUAAUGCAGGAUAUGGCAACAAGAGGUAAUGAAAAGUGAAAAGCAGUAAUUUUCUGCUCCACCAAAACCUGCAGUGCAAAUAUAAUUUUUAAUGGGACCCACCUUUAAAAUCUCUGUUUAAAAUAUUUAUCAAAUAGCUAUUUUUUUGUGGUUGGAACAAAACACAGUUCCAACCACAAUACCAAACAGUGAGCCACGGUGUGAUUGGAAAAGUUUUUGUUUUGGGUGGCAGCUGGAAUUUGGAAGAAAGAGAUGGCAGAGGUGGAGAGCGAAAAACUUUUCUUGGAGGGGCCAAGUUAUUAUGAGACUUUAAAGAGGAAAUAAAUAAUUUUUAAGGGGCGAGGGUGAGAAAUAUGCGAAACUUAAGAACCAUAUUAACAAUACUCUAAAACAAGCAGGGAAAGUAUUAUAACUUUCCCCGCGUAUUUUUAUUUUUUACAUUUUUUCCCGUUCCCCGCAUGUUUUUUUUCCUAAUAAAAAAACCUGAAGAAACCAACUGCCAUGUAAAAAACUGGAAUAAUUACAGACAGGAUUGUACUUAACAUGGCUUUCAGAUUCAACCACGAUGUGUUCUAGUGUUGAAAUGCAGGUUCAAAUAUUCUUGGAUGCUUUCACAUUUAUUUAUAAUGUUGUUCUUUAUACUGAUUUUUACCAUGUCAAUCCAUUAUGGGUUUUUAACUUAUCUGGCUAGUAAAUAAAAAUAUAUAUUUAUGUGAGACCUGCUCUGCUCACACGAGCAAGAUUUUUUUCCUAAGUUCAAUUCUUUAUUUAGUUCCUCAUUUUUUUUUACUUGAUUUUAGUUCUUAUUUCAUCUUUUGUUUUUGUGCAAUUUUUUUUUUAACUAAAGUUAAUAUUUAUUUUUCGAGUAAUGCUUAGAAAAUAGUUAUUUUUCAUCCAAUUUAAACACAAGCAAGUUUAAUAAUAAAAUAAUAAUAUUAAAAUUAACUUAAAUAUAAAAUUUGAGGAAGGAAGAAGGAAAAAGAAAAUUCCGACACAAUAACCAAAUCAUGGCAUAAAAAAGAAAACAAAGAAAGGAAAUAAUGAGAUAUCAAGAACACCAUAACUCCAAUAAUAACAUAUUUAAUACUAUCAGAAGGAGACGAAUCCAUAGUAACUCCUUCGAUAACAAACAUGGUUUUUAUGUUUUUUUUUUAAUUAUCUUUAUUGAUUUUAUUUUUUAAAUAUUGAGUUGAUUGAAAAUUACAACUAUAGUUUUCCUCACAAAACAUUGUGGAUUGCUAUAGUAUUUUUUUAUAUUAGUAUUUUUUUCUUUUUUCUUUUUCAUGAUUUUUGGUUUUUUAUAUGAUUUUUUUCAAAAAAAAAUUUGUUGCUUUUUUUAUAUAUAUAUAUAUUAAGUUGGUUGAGAAUUUUGCAUUAUGUUUUUUUUAUAUAAAAAAAACACUGUGGAUUGUUACAGUCAUUCUCCACAUAAUUUUUUUUGUUAUGAAUUUUUUUAAAAUUAUCUUUGUCAAUUUUAUUUUUUUAAUAUUAAGCUGAUUGAAAAUUAUAACUGUAUAUUUUCUCAUGAAACACUAAAGAUUACUACAGUGUUUCCCUGCAAGGUUUUUUUUCCUUUACUUUUUUAAUGUUAAUUUUUUUUCUAAAAUUUUUUUUGUAGUUUUUUCUUGAAAACAUUGUAGAUUGCAACAGUAUUUCUUCAUAUAUUUUUUUUUUUAUAAAUUCACAACAAUAUACAAGCAUGCCACAAGCUUGCGGCAACGCGAGGACAUUACAUCUAGUUUGUAUUGAGUUGGAAGGAAUCCAACAAGACAUAAAACACCGAAUGAAAUAAUGUUUUUAUCCUUUUCUUUUCUUUUCAUUUCUCAAUAAAAAUUAAGACUAUGUUGUCUUUUUAUAUUUGUUUUAGCAUAGUAAAAUUAUUUAUUAGUUAGUAACUCAGUCUCAUAACCCAUGUUAUAAAUUUUAAAAAUUAGCUCAAUUUGAUUUGGCCUCUUUUUAGUUUUUAUAAAAUGUUUUUUUUUUAUUUCAUUGUUCAACACUAGAUUAUAUAACAUUCAACUUCAAAAUUUUUAUCACUUUUCUUUCUAUAGGGUUAUCAUGAUCUUAUAUUUUAGGUCACAUGUUCUUCUAAUUAACCUGAGUUGACUUCGAGGUUUUUUGACCUUCUUUUAAUCAAGUUUUUCUUUAGUUUUUUUUUUUUUAAUUUGCUUGAAAGUUGUCCUGCAUUGUUUUUAAUUUCUUUUACACAGAGUUAUCUCGACUUCACAACCAUACUGUAAAUUUAGCAUGCUGACUUGAAUAAAGUUUUUUUAUCGUUAUUUAAAAUUGAUUUUUUUUCGAUUCAUCAUUGAGUGUUUGAUUUGCUAGUAAUUAAAUUUCUGAUUUUUAUUUUUAUUUUUAUAAGAUUAUCAUGUUCUUAUUUGAUUUUUGUUUUGUUAUCAAAUAGAUUAUUGAGACCUUUUAAUAGUAAUUACAGAUAUUUUACAUUAUUUUUUACCCUAAAAAUAGUAAUUACAUACAAAUUUUGAUAUUUUAUUUUUUUAUACUAUUAGUUUUUCAUUCUUACCAAAUAAAAAUUCUAACAUACAUCACUCACUUUCUUUAUAGUUAUUCAAUAUCUUCAUUAUUUUUUGCAGAAUUAUUUUAUUUACUUAAUUGUUAACAUUUAUAGAUUUUAAAGGGUCAUGACAGAGUCCAAUGCGCAAUUUUGUAAAAAUAUGCAUAAUUUUUUAUUUGCAUGUUAGAUUGUACUGUAAAUUUUUCAAAAGUUUAUAAACGCUUUGUUCCAUGGAAGUCUAAAAAAGACAGCUUUAUUAAAGUUUGGGAGCAUGCUCAAAUUUGACACAGAAAUUAUUGCUCAAGAUUUUUUUUUUUUUGUAUUUUGAUUCCCUUUUCUAUUUAAAUUAGAACUUUUAAAUUAAAUAUGAUUUUACUAAUUAGAUUUUUUUUAUAUUUAAAACAACAUUUUAGGCUAUUUUCAUUGAAUUUUAAUUAAAUAGACUUUUCAGAAUAUCAGAUAAUUUUCUUUAUAUGUUAGGGUUGUAGCUAUGAGUUUGAAAAUUCCUAAUUGUUUUUUCUAGAUUUUAUAAAAAUUUAAGGAUUGAUGAACCUUAUUCAUGUUGUAUGUUGUUAAUUGGUAUAAAAGUAAAUUAGUCUAUUUAAUGGAUGAAAACGCUAUUAACUCAUUUCAUGAAAUAGGAGUGGAGGUCAUCUUAAUCACUAUAAGAGCUCCAGAGGUAAUGUAAAAAAAUCUAUCAUAAAAAUUUGAUUGACAAGAGCAUUCCAUAGCAAACUUAAUUAAGCAGAUGGAUCAAUUACAAUGGAGAGACAUAAACAAAAAUCAUGAAGAGAAGAGAAACAUGCUUAGAAACUUUUUUCAAGUUAGGCCCAACUCCAUACAUAAGGUUCAGAAAAGACCCUGUAAGGUAAGUAAAACCAAGAAACAAUUUAAGAGAAUUUAUAGAAUUCACUUUACAUGUCCAUUUAGAUAACCACUUAUCUAUAUAAAGGGUGUUGAUGAGGAUGAACUUGAUAAUAGUCAUAGAGCCUUACCAGAAUAAGAUAGACUAUCACAAAAUAAGAGCUACAAAUCCAUCAACAUUAAAUAAAAAAAUAAAAAUGUAAGUAAUAACCUUACGAAGACAAGGAUGAACUAUGGAAACUUGAUUCACAUAACAAAGAAUAUUUAUAUGAUGAUGGAAAAACCUACAUGAUUAAGAAGAUAUUGUUAUUACCAAAGGAUGCAGAGAAUUCAUAGCAAAACAUGUUAGUUUAUACCCGAUGCAUCAUAAAAUAAUAACCUGUUUGAUUUGACUAUUAAUAAUGAUAAUUGUGAAAAUAUUAUUAAUAAAAAAACUAUUGAUAAAUUUAUAUUAUAAUUAUAACUACAUCUCAAAUCAUAUAAGUUUGGGUUGAUUAAAGUAGUAGCAGAAAUAAAAGUAAUACAGUGCUAUAAAAAAAGAUUGUUGGAGCCUCAAUGUUGUUACUUUGUUACCAUGAGCCAGCUCACUACUAUGCUUCUAACACAAUUGUGGAUGGUGGUGUUCUGUCACUGGAGAGAGUUACACAUUCCAUUAGAACGCACUGACUUCACCUCACAUGCUAGCAUGUUUAUUGCAUGCACCAGCUCAAUCCAUAAAAUGUUUUUAGUUUUAAAUAUAACCUCUCAAGUUUUAAUUAUUUUACAAAACUGAACAUCAAACAUGUGUUGAAAUUUUUUAUUAAUAUUGUGGGAUCCCUAUAUCAAAGCAAAAGAAAAAAACUAUCCAGUCCAAUCUUAAAUAAAAUUAAUGUGAACGGAUCAAUUUAAAGAAAAAGCAUUGAGAGGCAAAAAAAAAAAAGGGCGGAAUCUUUCCUCUGCCCAUGCAACUCAAUCCCUAAUGUUCACAAGAGAAAGGGGCUUAAUACUUAUCUAGUGUUUAAAUUUUAUUCUUAUAGUUUUAAUUGUUUUAAUAAAAUUAAAUUUUAUUAAUUUUUAUCAAAUCAAGCAUCAAUUAAUAUUUGAUUUUGUUUCUUGACACUGCAAAUAGUCAAUACCAAUCUAAACAAAACUAAAUAGCAAAAUCCAAUCUGAAAUUAAUCUAAUUUAAAUGGAUAAAAUAGAUUAAGUAUCCGAAAAAAACAGAAGAAAAAGGAAUGAGAAAAAAGAGCACGGUGUUUCCUCUCAUAUUUUACAGAGAAAGGCUAUUAUUGCCUUUCAGUUUCUUGUUUAAUAGAAUUACAACCCACUCUUUCAGUUUAUAGUAUUUAUUAUUCCAUACUUUUUAAUUGACAAUCUCCUUAUCAAGCGAAGAAGAUACAUCAUACAACCACAAAGCAGAUGCAUCAAGUUUAAGAUAUGACAUCAACCGAAUUGCUUUCUCGUUGCGGUGUGAGUUGUUAAAAUAUCCAAGUUUUUAUUUUUCCACUCCAAUGUAUUUCCGUUGAUGGUUUUUUUAUUAAUUAGUUAAGGAUUUUUUUUAAUCAAAUUGUAUAUCAAUACUGAAUUUUUUUUUUUUCAAGAACAAUCGAUAUUCAUAUCGUUUGAUGCAAGAAAAUAAAUUAUUCUGGAAGCUAAUUUCAAUGUUCAAUCUUAAAAAAAAGAAGAAGAAGAAAACAGAAUGCAUCAUGAUUUAUUGACUUAACUGCUGAUUAUAUGAACAAGAAAUUAUUAGCUUUCCUAUUUAAGCUAGAUUAGACUAUUUAUAUGGUUUGUAGGGACCGGGGGUAUCUUCUCGAAGAUCCAUUAAGUUCAACGAGCAUACAUAUGCUGGUUAGUAUAUAUUUUUUUUUAAAUAAGUCAAUAUAUUAAAAGAACUAAUUAGAAAUUAAUAAAAAAUAAGAUACAUUAAAGAAAAGCAUAAAAGAAAAGAAAAGAAAAUCACAAAAACAAAAGACAAACACAAAAUGAAAGGAAAAGAAAGUCAAUAGAUACAUAACAGAAAAAGAACAUCAAGAUUGAAGAAGCUGAUACGCAUGCUUAAAUCCUUGAUUUAGACAAAUUAUAAUACAUUCGGUAUAUAAUUAAAGUAGUGCCAGUAAUCAUGAAGAACUUAUCUGUAGACUUGAGCCAAUUUAAAAGGCAAUAAAGAAUUAAGGAGAAACUAUCUUCGAAGAUUGUAGUUCUAUCAUUGAAGAUUACCUUUGUCAUAACCCAAUUUUUGACCAUUUUAUUUUUUUUAUUAUUAUUUUAUUUAUUGAAAUGGAUAAAAAAAUUGAUGAAAAAAAUAAUAAUAAUGAUAAAAAAACAAGUAAAAUGAAAUAAAUGAAGAAUAAAUUAAAAUUUGGGUUAAGAGCAAUAUGAUUGGAAGUUUUGGGGUUUAAUUAAACGUUGAAAUUAAUCUAAUUAAGCUUUGAAUUAAUUUAAUUAAUCCAAGGGUUUAAGUGGAGAAUUGAUAAAUGUUUAGAUUUAAUUAAGCUUGAAAUUAAUUUAAUUCAUCCAAUUAAGGAUUUAAUUGGAGAAUUAAUAAGUUUUGAGACUUAAUUGAGCUUGGAAUUAAUUUAAUUAAUCCAAUUAAGGGUUUAAUUGGAGAAUUGAUAAGUUUUUAGACUUAAUUGAGCUUGGAAUUAAUUUAAUUAAUCCAAUUAAGGGUUUAAUUGGAGAAUUGAUAAGUUUUUAGACUUAAUUGGACUUUGGAUUUAAUUAAUGAAAUCAGGGACUUAAUUGAAGAAAUAGCAAUGUUUGGGGUUAAUUGAGGGCACAAUUGCAAUAAAUUAAAAUCCAAGGAUCAACGUGUAAAUGGUGCUGAUAUGCAGGGGUUCAAUUACAAUUUACCCAAGGACUGUACUGACAAAAUGCAACCGUUCAAGGAUCAAAACGCAAAUUGCCAUUAACAUCAGCACUGUUCAUCUUCUUCACCCGAAAACAAGAAGAAAACGCAUGCAUUUAUUGCAUUAAAAUCCAUGCAACCGCAUGGCAUUCUCUGGUUAUAAAAACCAGAGAAGGAGAACCGGCACAAGGGGGAGAAAAAAAGGCAGAGAGGGAGACUGGAAAGGACACGAAAAAAACCAGACUUUGUUUCCUCUGUUUCUUCUCAAGGAAACAGAGGAGGUAAAAAAAAAAAAAGCAACGAACAGGGGGCAGAAAAACUGGAGCAGUGAUGACAGAACCGAGGGUCUGAGGAGGAGAAAAAAAAGACAGAACCAGGGAGAAAACUGGGGAGAAAACAGGGCAGAACCGAAAGGAAAAAAACCACGAACGGCGGAAACCAAACCCAGGGGGGAGGAACCACAGAACCGGGGGAGACUAAAGGAAAAGAAAAGGAGCAGACGUUCGUUCCCGAACAGAGAGGUGAACGAACCCGAACAGAGAGGUGAACGAACCCGAACAGAGGAAGAACGCAGAAAAAAAGCAGGAGACCUGGAGAAGACAGAAACGGAGAGAAGCAUUGGCCAGCUAACACACGAGUACCAGCCUCGUCUCCGGUUGUACCACCCCCUCCCCUGAGCAGACGGACAGAACGCAAUCGGGGAGGAAAAACAGAGAAAUUACAGAAGGGCAGAGGUAAAUAACGAACAAAUGCUGGGGGGCUGACUGAUGCAAUCUUCAACGGGAGAGGAAUGAAAAAAACAAUGAGGGGCUGACUGAAGAAAGCUCAACAGGGAAUUGAACACGAAGAAAAGUCAGGGGAAGGAGACUAGACAGAGAAAUAUCAUGACAUAUACUUUGUCAGAGACUUCAAUGAAUGAAUAGAAAGAACUGUGAUUAGAAUCCUAAUAAAUGCACAAGGGUUUGCCUGCACCACUUUCUUGUCUAAAGGGGAAAUUACAAGUUUUAGAAAUUGUAACACUUAAAGAAAAAUAUAUUCCAGUCAAACUACUAUGCAGGGUUCGGGAGUAAAUUUCUAUUUAAAAUUAUUCAAACAAAAUUGAACCUUGCUUUUAGUUCUUCACUAAGUGAAACUAGCCAAACAAUGUCCUUGGGGAAGAUAUAGGACCCUGUCUGGUCAUGAAUGCUUUUCUCUCCAGACAGAGUACAUUUCAACGAUAUUUUGAGUUGAAACAGGUUAGUCACCACCCAACUCUCAUUGCCUGCCACUGUGAAGGUAGAGGGUGGAAGUUCUGGGGUGACAGCAACCUCCGCACAAAAUUUUGGGGGCGGUCGAUUCAGCUUGACCCUGUUGGAAUCCUGACCCUAGAAUUUGAUGAUGGUGAAAUAUUCCAGUGGAGCAAGGUAUGUACUUCUGUGUGGAUGUCUGCAUCAUUACUAGUCAAAUCUUUUGAUCUUCUAGCUUCCAUUUCUAUUAGUAUGGGGUGCAUUUGAAUUGACGCAAGAUUGCUUAUCUGUUAGGUCACAACAACGAUCUAUAAUCUUAUCCUUGGUAAAUUGUAUUGUGGUCACCAUGGGAUGAUGCAUAUACAAGGAAAUCGACAGUAUUCAUGCAAACUGAAGUUCAAAGAACAAUCCAUUCUUGACAGAAAUCCUCACCAGGUUGGUCAAUUUUGGAAAUUCUAGCUGUAUGCAUGAGAUCUGACAUGUAUUUUAAUUUUCUGAUAAGUAUAAUGCUUUUCACUAGCCUGAUCGGUGUACAUCUGGUAGGUCUGCUGUCAACAGAUCAUUAGGAUACAGCAUUGGUCUUAGUUCUGAGUUAUUUUUGAAUAUAUAGCACAAUUCAUUAGUGUCCAGUAUUUAUAGGUUCAAGGGUUCGUUGAAGAUGCUUCUGGUAAUAAAGUUGCUUCAUUAUUUGGGAAGUGGGAUGACAGCAUGUAUUAUACUACUGGAGAUGAGACUGGCAAGCCAAAGGAUCGGAUUCCCUCAUCUAAUGCCACCUUGCUUUGGAAAAGGAACAAGCCACCUCUUAAUCUCACCCGGUACAACUUGACGACAUUUGCUAUCACCCUAAACGAAUUGACGCCAGGACUCCAGGUAGUGAUGAUGUAUCAACUUGAUUUUCUAAUUUUUCUUUUCCAGGUAUGCAUCUCUAAUUGUUUUUUAUAGCCAUGUCUAAUCCUGGGUAUUUGAUAACGGAUUAAGGAGAGGCUCCCACCCACGGAUUCCAGGCUUAGACCAGACCAGCGGCAUUUGGAGAAUGGGGAAUAUGAGAAAGCAAAUGCAGAGAAACAACGGCUGGAGAGGAGGCAAAGAAUGGUAUAUUCACUCCUUUUGAUCUUUUUGAACUUAAUUAUACACUUCAUUUUAGUGCAGAUAUGUUGGAAUAAUUAUAAGAAUAGGGAAUAUGAGUUGAACUUUCCAUUGGUGAUGGAAGAACUUCUUUUUUGCCCCGGCUAAGAUUUGAACUUUAUUACAUAUCUAGUGUGACUUUGCUGUUGCUUGGGCUGCAUAUGAACUAGAUGAGAUAUGAACAAUUAGGCCAUCGUAUAAUUUUUUGUUAGUUUACCUAUCUGUUGCACCGAUGUCUAGACUUCUAUUAACAUCAUUUGUAUCCUACUUAUCAGUUUAGAUCUGGAAGACAUCGUAUUUAAGAAAUUCUUUGCAUGGCUAGAUAUGAACAUUAAGAGGUGGAAUGAGUCAUAAAUCUUAUAUAUGCACUCGCAAGACCCGUUGUCAUCAUAUUUCAUUCAUUCUAUGCAGUCAAGGAAAUUACAAGAACAUGGAUGGAAGCCCAGAUGGUUCCAAAAGGAAGGUGAAAAUGGAUCUUUCCGCUAUGGUGGUGGCUAUUGGGAAGCUCGAGAGCAGGGAAAUUGGGAUGGAUGUCCAAAUAUUUUUGGUGAAUUCAAUGAAGACCUAGUGGAAUCCUCUGAAGGGCCCUGACUUGAUUUAGGUGUGUAUUCUUGCAGAAAACUGCAUUUUCACACUCCUUUGAAUGCGGCUCCUCCUUUAGCUGAUGAAUUGCCAUAGUGGAUGCCUGAAAUUUUUUGCAAUGCUGCACCAUUGUUUAUGGUGAGACUUGAACUUAAAGCAUGUACAAGAUUCAAUAUGGAGGACAAUAUCCAGGUCUAAAAAUGCAUCUCACCUGUCUUGGCUUGCGCUUUCCCAUGCCAUGCUGACUGGUGAAAAGGAUAAACAAUGAAAAAGUUGAUGCAUAUUAUGAUUUUAACUGGACCCCUCUAAGCUUAAUUUUACCAUUCAUAGAAUAAUUCCCUCUGUUUUCAACGAAAUGUCCAAGCAGUUCAAAAGCGGAAAUCAAAUCCGACUACAGCAUAUUGCUCCAACUCCUACUCUUCUUUUAGACCUGACCUGAUUAUGUGCUUGUUGAUAAUGCAGAAAGGGGUGUCCCAGAGCAAGCUGUGCACUUUAAUUUGGUCGGGUUUAUCAUAUUCCAGCCUUUUUUAAAAGGUUUUAGUCCAAGUUUGACAAUGUUUUUCUUGUGGGCGCUUGAGCGGGAACUGGUUUUUCAGUUCAUAGAGGAUGGAUAGGGUUAGAGAUACUUCUUGUAACAUUCUUAAUUGUCUGCUAUAAGGUGUUAUUUUUGUAAUGUCUCUCACUCUCUUCUGUGUGUUAUAGUUCUUUGAGCUGCACUAGCCAUUGGCUAAAAAAUUUAUUUUGAUAUUUAUUUUUCUUUUUUAGAAAUAAAGGAAAUAUAUUGUUGUCAUCAUCCCAAACUCGCUACUUUUGGUUUAACAAAUUAUGUGCUUUCACAGAGCUGAAAUUGGGAGAGUUGAUUUUAGGUUUUAGCCCAUCUUAAUCAUAUAAUGAUGUGCUUCAAACCUAAUUUUACUCAUUCUAAUAAAAUUGUUUAAGGCGAGUUGCACUAUUUAUAAUAACACCGUUAAAUUAAUAUGGUAAAUUAAUAAUUCGUUAUAUUUAUAAGAUAAUACACAGGUUCUAUUUGAUAUAUAAAUUAAUAAUCUCCUUGUGUGUAUAUUUGUGUGUUUUGAGAGAGAGAGACUAGACUUUUGUAAAAUGACUCCAAUGUUACUUUUUCUCUCUUGAAAUUGAUAUCUAUUUAUACUUCAUUUCUAACUUUUCUUAGUGCAUUGAUUUUUUUUGAUAUAAUGUUCAUGUAUUGCAAGAGCAAAUUAUGCAAUGGAAUUAAUGUCUUAAGUGCAUCUUUACGUGAGACAUGCUUUAUUGCAGAACUAUUCUUGUUAAUUUUAUAUAUUUUUUAAUUAUUUUUCAUGAUGUUUUUAAUAAUUUACUCGUCACUCAACAUCUUUAAAGUUGCAUCAUAUUCUCCUGGUUAGUUUAAAAGAUGCUCAAUAUAUAUUGUAUUAUAAUAAUUCAAAUAUUUAAUUAGAACAUAUAGUUGCAUUAUGAAACUCCAUUCGAUCCAACAAAUUUUUCUUCUUUAAAUUUCACUCUAACAUUUUAUUUAUUUUAAACUGGUCAUUAUAAUUUAUUUUAGUUUGUUUUUUAUGAGGUUAUAGUAAUUUUAAAUAAAUAUUCUGAUAUUUGGUUUGUGCUCAAUUUUUACAAGUAUAUAUUUUUGUUAUCAUAUUAUUAAGUAAAAAAUAUUGUUUUUUUUUUUUUAAAAUUAAUUAAGUUCAAUGAAGCCCACAACCUAACUCAUCGGUUUUAUAAGUUAAGCCAUGAAGCUAAAAAAGAUGUUAUCUAGAUUGUAUUUGGACUAGCCAAGUCAAAUGGGUUAUAUAAAAUCAAUUUUCAUAUGGGUUACUUUUAAAUUGUUAAGUCAAAAAAUUUCAAGGUUCGACUUGUUUGGUCGAGUUUAAUAAAAAUACCAAAUAUUUUUUAAAAAAAGAAAACUCCAUCUUUCAAAUUUUUUCCCUUUUCAAUUGAAUCAUUUUUUACUUUUUUUUUUAUAAUUAAUUUUAUUCUUUAAUAUUUAAUUAUUAGAUUUUAAAAUGAUCCUCAUAAUUUAUUUUGUUUUGCAACAUAUGAAAUUAUUAUAGUUUUAAAUAAAUAUCUUGAUAUUUGAUUAGUAAUUAAUUUUACAAACAAUUAUUUUAUUAUUAUAUUAUUAAAUAAAAAAAAAUUCAAACAAAGUUAUUAAAGAGAUUGGAUUCCAUGAUUUGCUUUGUGGUUUGCUUGGUGGUUUUGAUACGAUAAUUGGGGAAGCCUAGAUUAAUAAUAUGUUAUCUUUUUAAAACACUAAAAACACUAAUUUAAAAUUAAAAACUAGGUGAAACUGCCAUGCGCUACACAAAGUGGGCGAAAAGGGUGUAAAAAAGUAUAAUAUAAAACACAUUUCAGUGGAAAGUGGGCUCAUCAACUUCGUCCAGUUCAAUUCCCUCGUCGGCGAACCUCUUGUCCUUGUAGACAUACCAUCUGGCACAAAUCAAAUAUAUGACAAAGUUCAAAGCACUCAAGAUUGCCAACAACCAGUAGAAAUCAUGGAGCCUCCCUUGGUUUAGAUUAUCCGCUAACCAUGGCUUGUUCGUAGUCACCUUGUGCACUAUAGUAACCAAUGAAGAGCUGACAAAGAACCCUAGAGAAAGGGUGCUCAAAAACAGCCCUGUGCUCAUCGUCUUCAUCCCCUUCGGACACUCUCUCAGGAAGAAAUCAAGCUGCCCUAUAUAUGUGAAAGCCUCACCAGACCCCACAAAAAAGAAUUGUGGGACCAGCCAGAACACACUCAAUGGGAUCUCGGCCGUUGGAUCAUUAGCCAAACCAUGUAAUCUGGCGGCUCUCAGCCUCUUCUUUUCGGUGAGUGCUGCUGCUAUCAUGGCAACAAUGGAUAAAACCAACCCGACUCCUAUGCGUCUUAAUGGGGUUAGCCCUUGCGGAUGCUUAAGCACUCUUCUUGCGACGGGGACGAUAAUUCGGUCAUAAACAGGAACAGUCAAAAGAAUGCUACCAACAAAGAAGACCGUCAGUGAUGCUGCAGGUAUUUGGAAAGAUUUUCCGAUGCGACGGUCCAUGGUGGUGGCUUGUGACACAGAGAAUGUGGUCAUCUGGGCAUAGACAGUCCAAAAUAUCACAGUAGUAGCCCAAAUGGGCAUCAUUCUAAUUACCAUUUUCACUUCUUCCACAUCUGUUAAGGUUGCUAAAUUCCACUUGUUUACCUUGCCCAUUUCUAGGCCCUUGAUCGCUGCUUUGUCCAAGAAACUGCACCGUAUAUGAAGAACAAAUAAAAGUUAUGGCAUGAUCAGUGUAUUAUCACGUCGUGACUCUAAAAUUGCAAGAUAACCCGUCCAUGGGCAUGGACCGACAGAUAGCUGGUGGGCCUCCUUAGCGACCAACACAUAAUUUCCUAUUUGUUUUCUUCCACUCAUUUUGAGUGACACGUACCCUUUGUUGAGUCUCAAGGUUUCCACUAUCCAGAGAAGGUUUUAAAAAAUUGAAGCUAAAACAUCUGUCACGAGAUGGCUUGGGGGGGGGGGGGGGGGAUGUGAACUGGAAGACAAAAAUCACCACAGGAGAUUCGAUUGGGAGACAGACUGGCUCCGGUGUCUUUGGUACUGCGAAAAUAAUUUAUAUUUUAAUUUUUAAUAAUACUUUUCAAAUACGAAACCAAUCCUGAUUGAUUUGUAUAUGAAUGUUAAGAUCCAGAUAUUUUAGACUGCAACGUCUUUUUGGGCUUUAGGGAUUUGAGGAUAUGGAUGAGAUCCUCAAUUAGGUCGAAAAGCAAAAACAUAAUUAUUAAUCUUCAAUGACAUGAAAGCUACCCCUUCUCUUCACAUUUUACUCUUGUAGAAAAAAAGCACUUGCUGGUAGCAAAAGCACCUUAGAAUAUAGAGAACCUUUUUUUAAAUCAAUUUAUAAUGAAAUAUUUGGUUUAGCCAUGGCUUCUGGAUCAUAAUAUAGGAGUGAAGAUCCAUUUAACAAGCCAGACCGAGAAGGAAGAAGGAUGUUCUCAUCAUAUAUUUCAAGACAAAAUGAAAUAAAUUCCAAUUAAAUAAAAAAGUUUACUAGUUGAGGAGAAAAUAAAUAAUAAUAAAAAUAGAAGUUAUUAACGUUCAAUAAAACACUAACCAGAAUUGCUUGCUGUGCGGCAGCUUUUGCUUCUUCUCCUUGCUUCCCUCUUCAACAUCAUCAACGUUGUAAAGAAGAGACGCAUCUGAAGGUAAUUCCAUGUGCCUUUUUCUCCAAGCACUCACAAAAACAGUGGCUAUCUGUGUCAAUGGACUGCCCACCAAUUUCCUGAAACGGUACCGCCUUGUGCCAGAAAGGAACACAAUUAGGCCUAGCACGAUAGCACAGGCACAUAUGCCAUAUCCCCAUUCUCUCCCCAAGUUAUCUUGUAUGUAAACCAGAACUGUCACCGCACAAAGUGCACCUAGGCUGAUUAGGAAGAAGAACCAGUUAAAGAAAUUGAGCAUCUGUUUUCGUUCUUUUGGGUCCGUUUCAUCGAAUUGAUCCGACCCAAAUCCGGAGACGCUUGAUUUUAGACCUCCAGUGCCGAGGGCAGUGAGGUACAGGGCCAAAUAAAGAACCGUGAGUUGUUCUCCGUUAGCAGGGAUGCAAUCUGUGUUGUCCACACAUUUUGGUGGCCUGAGGCUUGGGACUACGGUGGAGAUAGUCAAGAUUGUGACACCCUGAUCAACAAAAAUUAAUAAGAAAAAUGAAACAAGUGAAGUAGUAUAUUAGGAACCAAAUAAAAACAAGGUGCAUAGCCUCUUACGACCAAGAAGAAAGAUUUAUAAUAAAAUAUUGAAAGAAUUUGCUCAAAAGGAAAUAUGAAGAGAAAUCAGCUAGCUAAUUAACGCGCAACAACAAACUUCAGGUGCAGGAAAAAAAUUUAAAGGCGAAGCCAGUGCCUUGGGGAGUAGGGCAAGUACUCUACAUGUGUAUAUAUAGCUGUGUAUCGGCUAGCAAACUUCAAUUUGUUACAAUUAACACAAAGUUCCCUGGCCACUGAUGGAUCAUUAAAAAAAAAUGGUUCGAUUAAUUAAUGGUAAGUGC